UACAAAGGAGAUUUAGAUACGCUAGGAAACUAAUGAAAAAGGAAGAAAAUAAAAUACAAGAAAGGAAAGGGAGAAUAAAACCCUUUAAUACAGGGAUUAACAAGUUGGUAGAAUUCCAACAUAAUUCUUCUGUAACACGGCUCCUUUGGUGGCUAUACCUAGAGAUUAUUUGUGGUCAUUGCUCGGUGUUCUCGGGGCAUGGAUUGUGUAUUCCUUGGGCUUGGGCUUGUG
Molecule: unclassified non-coding RNA, 231 nt
Filed under: Hevea brasiliensis (rubber tree)
Lineage: Eukaryota; Viridiplantae; Streptophyta; Magnoliopsida; Malpighiales; Euphorbiaceae
Source: RNAcentral